Long non-coding RNA from Athene cunicularia (burrowing owl), 4393 nucleotides. RefSeq lists it as uncharacterized. The transcript is spliced from 2 exons. The record is from RefSeq and is a predicted model, not a curated record. Lineage: Eukaryota; Metazoa; Chordata; Aves; Strigiformes; Strigidae.
GGAUUUAGUAUGGGAUGGGAAUUCAGAGAAAAACAAUUAAGUUGUGCAAAGGGAGAGAGUAAUAGUUCACACGAUAGUCCUGUAACCAGAGAUUGCUUUCGUAUUUUCUGUUGUGUUUUAAAUGUGUGGGAAGGAAUGUGAGGGUGGAAUAUGACAAGUAUGUGCAAACUUCAGGAUGCUGAGAGGAGAAGAGAGCUAAGAUAAAAUAAUUGUAAAUGGAUUAGGGAAGGAAUAGGAAAACUUCCUGAAAGUGAUAUCUUGAAGCUUGUGGUCAGUAUCUCGAAGGAUCCUUAUCCUGCGGGACUUUCCAGAUAUUCUGGACUUUGAAGCAUAGGUGAUGUCUGCAGGAGGAGUAACAGUGCAGUAGCAAGAUGACAGAUGCGGAAAUUCCUUGCCCUUGCUCAGUUUGUCAGCUGAAAAGUUGCAGCAAGAUGAUCUUCCUGCUUUUAUAGAUGGCCUUUGUAGGUAUAAAAGCAUCCGGCUUGUACUUCUGGUGCUCAGCUCUGUGCUUUGUGUUAAAAGGGACUGUUCUUAGUCCCAAUGCAAAUGGUGGAGAUUGGAAUGCUCUUAUUGCUCAUGAGGAUACAGGUGACCCCAUUGGAAAAUCUCUCUGUAUCUCCUGAAUUUGACAGUUUUAAAGCAAAAGCCUUAAAAAUAUUUCCUUUAAAACAUAUCUGUAACAAAUAAGGGUUUGGAGUGAUUAUAAUCCAACCUUAUGUGCCUGUUGAAGGAGGUCGCAGAGCAGCCUUUGCCAGCUCAAAAGCAAAGCAGUUUGUGAGAUGUGACACUGUGCCAGAGAUAAGUUCAUAGUAAUUCAGGAAGAAGGAUGGUGAGAAACAUCAGCUGUUGCAGACUUGGGUUGACCUUUAUUCAUUUCACCUCGAGAUUUGGAAUGUGUAUUACUGCCGGAAGCUAUUCUACUUAGUAUAUGUCACGGACAGUAAUGCUGAGCUGACUUGCCUGCAGCCUUAUUCAGUGAUGCUGGGGUACAGGGCACGAUAAAGCCUCAGGCAUUCCAGUGGGUUGGAUGGUACGUGGCUGUCAGAGCACUAUUACAUGUCAUGCUGUGGGCACGAGUCUCAAAUCAGCCUUUCAGUUACUGGAUUCAAAAGUAAUAAAAAUGGCAUUCUGCCAGGAAACCUGUUCUGUGUGAUGAAGUCUACUAGUAAGAAAAAAACAACAAACAACUCUGUCAGUGUAGAUGAAAUGAGGUAAUUGGCUCCAAGAAGCCUGGAGUUAGCUGCAAUCAUCUCUGCAGGUUCUGAGCUUUCUUAAACUACUCCGCAAUUUACCUGAAGUAACUUUUGGUAGAAGCCCAAGCCAUAAAAUGGCAUGCUCAACAGGCCAGCAAAUAUUUCAUUAGCUCUGACAGACCCUGCAGGUAUAUUUAGGUGCAGCUUUACCAAACCGGCCAGGAGUGGUGUGAGACAAGGCCUGGGCACUGGGGUGUUCCUCGUGCUGAAGCUCUCUGCACUGGGAUGGCCGCUGCGGGCGUGGAAGGAGUUCUCACAGAUGUUCCACCUCUGAAAUCCUGAUGGCAACUGUUUUACCGGAUUCCUGGUGUCCUGGGCACAGUGCCUAUUUUGAUGGGUGGUGAAGGACACCAGGAAUGCAGGGUGGAGUCCAUUACUGUCUCUGUGUUAAGGCACUUGCCAGUGAUGCUGAGGGAGCUGCAGUGGUGUUUUUCUGGACUGCACUGUUGUCAAGAAGACCUGCUCUCCAUUUGACUCUGGUCUCUGCUGUUGCUUUCUAAGGACAUGUAUUUCUACUUAAGUUUCUUCAGAUGUGUAAAUGAUCUCUUAAAGGAGGAAAGUUGGGGCAAUGAGAGCAAAGCAGCAACAUGACUCAAGUGCAUCUAGGGGUGGAUGUCUCUCAUUCGCUGUAUCUGGUCAUGUUGUCUCUGGUCCCUGAGAUCUCCAGAGCCUUACACUUCACGUAGCAUCUGUAAAGCCACUCUAGUGAGCAGACCAGACAGUGAUGACUUUUUUUUUUUUUUUUUUUUUUCCUAAUUGCUGUUAAGUCCUUCUGGCUUAGCAAUAAUUUUGAUACUCAACUAUGUUGGGACCUUUAAUGUAGAGCUGGGAACUGUCUUCUAAUCUGUUCAGUGCUCUGGGCUGUAGUGAGGUUUCACGUCAUCUAAAAGCAUUAUGAGACUGGUGGUUUUGGUGGGUUUUGUUUGGAGUGUCAUUGGAGAAACUAUGGGUUAUUUUAGUGAGAUAAAAUCCUUUAUUUUUAUUUCAAUAGCAUCACUAACUUACCAAAUUAUUCCUUUCUUGCAGAAUAAUAAAUAUUAUUUUUGAAAAGUAUAGCAGCACAGUAACUACAUCCCACUCUAUUACUACACAACCACUUCCUUCAGGAACAGGAAGAAACGUAUGCUUAGUAUAACACAGCAGCUUAGUUUAUUUGGAAAUAUGUUUAACUUUGCUGAAGAGAUUCAGUACGCCUAGGGGAAGGUACAAGAGAACCAUGUGCUGGUAGAAUUGGUGAUUGUACAAAUAGCACUUCAGCACUUCUGUUUUUCACAGUAGACCAAGAUCCUUUCCUAAAUAUAGCCACGUUUACCAGUUCAUAGAGAAAACAGCGUGUCAAAUCCACCUUUUAUUUUCUUCUUUUCUGAUGCCUUGCCUGCCUUCUGAAGUGAUAAAUAGCCAGGAUUUCCAGAAGAGAUUUUUGGGUGCUUCAGUCAACCGAUGUCCCUCUUUGCAGACAGUAACAGAUAUUUGAAAAUCAGCUCUGAAAUUAUGCCAGUUACUCAAUGUAGUCACCUAAAGAUAUUAAUCUGAUUUUCUGCUGGUUUUACAUAUGGGGAUUGCAUAAUGAGCUAUGUUUAUAGGAUAAUGAAAGUUAAAGUCCCUUGUUGUUCCUGGGAAUACUCAGUGGUUUAGUCUGACUUUUAAAAACAAGGACCAGGAGUUUUACACACCUAAAUUUUAAUUUAACUACAACCAUUAUGUUUGAAGCCAUUAGGGCUCUGCUGUGUUCUGGAUGGACAAUACUGGAAGAUAGUGUUGAACACAGUUAAGAAUCUGACCUCACAGUCUAAAAAAUCCAGGACUUUAUUGCUAAGCAGCAUCACUGACCCCUGUCUGAAGGAACCACUGGUGCACUGCAGGAAAACUGUUCAAACCCACCCAAAUAAAAACUGAAGCAUUGGCUAAUUAAAAACAAAACAAACUUACAGAAAGAAAACUUUUCAGCUGAGCCGAGCUGGAACUUCUGAAAAUGAAGUUCACUCUCACUAAUACUGCUGUAGUUCAGGUCCCUUUGGGGCACUGGCUGCCAGUGCCUAACUAUAUACAAAGGGUAUAUAUUCAUACUUGCUGUUUUCAGUUUAAUGGAAGGAGGGGGCUCUGUAGCCAGUUGUGAGUGUUGCAUCCUAGAAAUGUCUAGCUCCAUUUCCUAUUAAUGAAAUUUUUCCAUACAAACCUACAUUCUACCGAUUUCACUUCCCAAGGGACUGUAGAUUCUGUGCAGCAUGGAGGGAUAGCCCCAGUCAAUAGCUCAGCGUGGUUUAAACAGUAAGUCGUCACCUAUUGCCUUAAAAACACUGUGUGUGAAGUCCUUCCGGAUCCUUUAAUUGCCAGCAUUCACAAUACUUGGUUGUAACAGUUGAUUCUCUUAAGGCUUUGGUGCUCCACUACAGUUUUUUUUCCUAACUUCCUUUUGCCUUGUUAAUGGCACUAACACCUGCCUCUUGUCUUAAGAUACUGAUAAUUCCUGGUGUCUUAACUGGAUACCAGCAACUUCAAGAGGCUGUUAAAUUUUACAGAACCCAGUGAGUGUUUCUUCCCCUCCAGCAUGUAUUCUCCCUUAAAAGCAGUUUUCCCCAUAACUCUGUUAAUGUAUGCAGGUGCUGUACAGAGUCCAACCCACAGCAGAUACAGUAGAUACUAACAGCUACAGAGCUUAAUGGGAUGUUGUAUGUAUCAAGAAGGAUGCAAUAACUACCUAUGACUAUUCAGCCUUUGGAUGUUUUGUCCUCGUUCCUGUGUCUUUGGUCAAAAAUAUUUAAAGUGCUUCAUGUCUUGGUGGAAGCUGUCUGUGUUUUGUUCUGUUUUUCACUUUGAUCCUUAAACCUUAAGGAACUUACUGACAUAUGUUCUUUAUCUCAAGUGAGUCUGCAAUACUGAAACAAAUGAUUCUGGAAACGCAGAUGUUCUUCAUCGAAUCAGUCUGAUGCUAGGGAUUAGUCUUAUUUGUACAAGAGUAGUCUGACUUCUGACAGUGUCUGUCUCCUCAAACCUUAAUAAGAUACUCUCUCUCUAAAAAAUAUUACUGUUCAUCUUUUUUGGGUAACUGCUGUUAAUUUUUUUUUUCUUCCUUUACUGUAACUGUGGUUCCUUUGUAUGUAAGUGCACACUUCACUUAGCUGGCUUUACAAAAUGGAAGU